GCAUCGAUGAAGAACGCAGCGAACUGCGAUAAGUAAUGUGAAUUGCAGAAUUCAGUGAAUCAUCGAGUCUUUGAACGCACAUUGCGCCCCCUGGCAUUCCGGGGGGCAUGCCUGUCCGAGCGUCAUUGCUGCCCAUCAAGCCCGGCUUGUGUGUUGGGUCGUCGUCCCUCCCGGGGGACGGGCCCGAAAGGCAGCGGCGGCACCGUGUCCGGUCCUCGAGCGUAUGGGGCUUUGUCACCCGCUCGACUAGGGCCGGCCGGGCGCCAGCCGACGUCUCCAACCAUUUUUCUUCAGGUUGACCUCGGAUCAGGUAGGGAUACCCGCUGAACUUAAGCAUAUCAAUAAGCGGAGGA
This 353-nucleotide ribosomal RNA is filed under the name uncultured fungus. Its description in RNAcentral is "eukaryotic LSU rRNA". The stretch from base 1 to 125 matches the Rfam family "5.8S ribosomal RNA", at positions 30 to 154 of the family's 154-position model. The record is from RNAcentral. Lineage: Eukaryota; Fungi.